AGUCUAAUUCACAAACUAAUUANAAUUUUUUAUUAUAGAUAAUAUUUUAGAUACCAAACUUUUAGUUUAUAAAUUGAUAUUUAAAUUAGUCUCUAUNGUGACUAACAAUUUUGGUUUUUUAAAAAUGGUUGUUAUUGAAGNAUUUUCUUUUAGAGGUAUUAGGCAAAUAUGGUCAUAUGGAUAGAAAAAAUAUACGCAAACAUACUAGUAUAGUGUAAUUAUAGUCCUUUCACAAAACUAAAGUCUUUCCAAAUACAUAAGUUAUUACAAUCCUUCAAAAUGCAAAACAAGAUUAAUAAACUACACCAUACAAUAUAUCUAUGUACAUAACAUCAAAGGAACAGUAAACACUACCAUCAACUUACUAGNUAGCUNUGUCACCACCUGAAAUCUCAUUUGGUAAUGCCAUAAAAGUGAUCAUUNCAUAAAGACACACAUAAUCAACACCAAGAGGGUAAACUAUUAAUAACUUAAACUUAUUCAUAUACAAUUAUUAUAUAAAUAUGAUAUUUCUAUUUCUAUCCUUUUUCAGUUCAAUUUAUUUGAAAAAUUUCCUAAGGACCAAUUACUCAAACCAUAUACUAAAUUCUUAUUAUGUACCAAAUUANUUUCCUAACUUCAUAUUCAAUUCCAACAAUACAAUUUCGUAGAAUCNUAAAAUUUUUACAAUUCACAUAACCUACAAUAUGAUUUCUGACAUCCUAUUUCACAAAUAUCAACCUCAAACAUGCAACAUUUCAACAAAAUUACAGUUUAAGGCUCAUACCANAAUGAAUUUUGGAUUCAAAUAAUGAAAAAGUCAAAAUUACCAUUUGGAUCAAAUGGUACAAGAUGUUAUCAUAAACUAACAACUUCCUAGGACACCAAGGAGAUCACCUAAACCAACACCAAAAACCUCAAUUAGAAUUUUAAACCUACCAUUUGGAUUAGAAAGCAAGAGAGNGUUGUCAAGAGUACUUGAGUUGCGUGUUCUCCUGUAGGGUUUACAUGAAACCAAAGAAAUAGAUUGCGAAAAAGA
This 1018-nucleotide long non-coding RNA is filed under the name Vigna radiata. RNAcentral's name for it is "long non-coding RNA (VRAD_LNC009503)". Lineage: Eukaryota; Viridiplantae; Streptophyta; Magnoliopsida; Fabales; Fabaceae. The record is from RNAcentral.